Cavia porcellus (domestic guinea pig) is the source of this 11551-nucleotide long non-coding RNA. RefSeq lists it as uncharacterized. The record is from RefSeq and is a predicted model, not a curated record. The transcript has 3 exons. Lineage: Eukaryota; Metazoa; Chordata; Mammalia; Rodentia; Caviidae.
CAUUCAUCUCGUAGGAACAUUCCUCUGAGGUGUGUGUGGGGCAUGGAGAGGUGUUUUUGCUUUCUCUGGCGCUGUGCGGUCUGGCUUAGCAGAAGGUGCCCCUUUGGGGAUCACUGAGCAUGCACUUGGGUACGUUGACCUGCCAGCCUCAGGCCUGGGGCAGGGCUUCAGGGGCGUGGCACAGGAUGGUGUGGAGUAGGAGGGCACUGGUGUGAGCAGAGGCGUGGGCCCGGCCAGCCGUGUUGGCCGCGCACUCUGUCAAACAGGAAGUUGGGGGCACGCCUUUGCCCGCCUGCUAACCCUGGCGGUCAGUGCCAUGAUGCAGGUCGCCAGGAGGUCCCCGCGGUCCUCCUCAGCCCCGGCCAUCGCCGCCAAGCUCUUCCAGAGUUUUCCGCCCAAGUUCACGCUUCUCAUUUGAGACUUUCUGGUGCUUAACAGCAGAUGGCAACAGAUUUCCAGACGUGGGGGCGUGGGACGUGGAGGCGUGGGAUUUGGGCACAGCGGCCUCGCAGACUUCCCCAGCGGUGGCAGGAAGUCCUUGUGUGCAGUCAUCUGUGCCUGUGGUGCGGCAGAGCCCGAGUCCCUGUCCAAGCCGCUGCCUUCUCCAGCCGCCUGGCUCAGGGACCGGCAUCCGGCUUUGCCGCGGGGGGCAGAGGGCCGUGGACGGCGUGACAGCCCCUGUCCUGGCCUUUGGGGCCGGAAGCCUCAUCUCUGCCAACACUGGGCUGCUGUGGGUUGGCAAAGGCCCGUAAUUAGUGGUAGCUGCCGGCCAAGAGCCGCAGAGGGUCCAGGGUGGGCACGGCAUCCCCAUCCCGUUCAGGACCCUGCAUCUGUCGGCGCUGUGACGGGCGUGCGCGCCCUGUGCGUGGCACACCUGUGACGUGUAUUUCCAUGACACCGACCCGGCUGCACCGUGGCCCACCUCUUCACACCUUUGGGCUCUGCUAGGCACAACCAGCGGGGAUGCUGUGUGGUUCCUUGGACACUCGGAACCCGGCUGCUUCCUUGCCGGGAAGGGGAGGUGGAUCUGCACGGGAGGGGACGUGGCAGAAUUUGGAAGUGAAAAUGUUUCCGGGCUCCCCGGUGGAGCACCUGGUGCAGGUGGGACCUUCAUGAUGUCACCUCAUGGGGCAGAUUCAUCGCAACGUGGCAGUUCUGAGCCGAGUGUCCGAGUGUGGGGACAGUGCCGUGCUGUGGUCAGGGUUCCUGGAGGCUGGGGGUGUUUGGGGAGCACUUUGAGGUGGAUGAGUCUUUCCGGGUUUGCUCGUGUACUGGGGCCGGGGAGAUGCAGGCUGUGACCUCCCCCGAGAGGACCUGGAGGGGACAGAGAGGCGGCCAGACCGUGUGGACGGGCCCACAGGCUGGUGCCCACCCACGGGGGACGCAUGAGCUCCCGUGGACCCUGCCCUUCCUGAAGGGAGUUGUCCGGCUCCUUCCUGUGUGCCCCCAGCCUUCUUCAGUCCCAGAUGAGCGCCUUGGGGCGCGGCAGGUGGCAUGGGUGGGUCUGGAGCCUGGGUCUUCCGCCCCACCCCAUCUCAGCUGAACCUUGGGGAGCAGAGAGACAGGCAGAGGGGCAGGGGACGGGGUUGGCGUGAGCCAAUGCCCUUAAAAGCAGUGUGGGAGGCCGGGCUUGGGCUCUGCCGGUGCUGUGAACACUGUGGGCAGAGCUGGGGACACCCAGCUGGGACACCCAGGGGCCGAGGUGCACGCCCUGAGCCCAGGAGGAGGCCUGUGCUGGCUGGCUCCCUGCUGGCUCCUGGAUUCCUGCUGGAUUCCUGCUGGGCUUCCUCUGGCAGCCUGCGGUUUGGGAACGUGUGUGCGGGAGGGAGUGGGGAUGUGGGAAGGUGCCACGGGGAAGCCACUCUGGGGACACAGCACGCUCAGAAGCCCGUCCUGCCGCCGCCCUUGACCUUCAGGCUGUGCCCUUAUAAGGGCUGGAUCCCCAGCGACUGGCCUUGGCAAGGAAAGGCUGAGACAGGAGGGGGGUGGGGCCGUGACCACCCGUGGGGCUCCUCCAUGUCGGUCUGGCAAGGUCCAGGCGGGGAGCAAGGACACCCCAGACGCGGGGGAAGACCCCAGGUCCACCUCAGGCAGCCGCCCUGUGCUGCGCUGGUGAGGCUGGGCUGUCCUCGUUGUCUGAACCACUCCCUGGCUGUCCGGAGCUCGGGACCCCCACCCCUGUCACAUGGCUGAGACAGGAGUCCACAAAGUCAGGCAGCUCGGCCACUGCAGUAGGGCUGGUCUGAGCCCCACCCUGCCUCGUCCUAUUGCUCUGUCCCUCCAGGCUCCAGGGUGCCGGUGGCCGUGUCUGGAGCAGCACUGGCCCCUAUAGGGCAGGGGGACUGACCCACACCAGACUCCUGGCCCCAGAGGCUAGCAGUCUGGAGGCCUGUUUCCUUUCCCAUGUGGCUCUGAGCAGGACACUCCCCGGUGUUGUGGGAGGAGCCCUGUGUGACCUGCACCCCUGUCCCCAUCUUGAGUCCCCAGAGUCGUGCAUUCCGACGGCCCUGCGAUGGGGAGACGUCUGAGGCCACCGGACAGGUCUGAUUCCCGGGGUGCCGCUGUGUGAUGCCAGGCCCUGGGCACUGUGAGAUCCGCCCUCAGUGGUGACAAGGGAGGGACAGAAAGAGGCGGGUGCAGUGGGGUGCUUGGAUGCUGGCAGCCAGGGCACCAGUCUCUCGUGGCUGGGUGGAGAGACACAGCCCCAAGGCCCCCGGGAGUUGCCAGCGCCUGGGCUCAGCGUGGCACCUCAUGCCUGUAAAGGACUGGUGCGCUGUGCUGGGCCCAGCCCAGUGCUGCAGGGAGACCCAGGAGGGUGGACCUAGGGCUGCGGGACGGGGUGACACCUGGGCCGAGUCCCGAAGGUGGAAGAGUGUGGCCAGGUCUGCGUGGGAGUCCUGUGCUCCUGGCUGGGGCAGGGGUCGUGCUCUGGGCAUGGGGAGGGGACUGUGGCAGCCAGCCGUCUCCUGCAGCAGGACAGGCAGGCCUGCGGGGUGGGCAGGGCCCUCUUGGUGGGGUUGGAGUCCUGGAAGUCCAGGGACAGCAGUCUAGUUAGUGACACCAGUGGAAAGGUGGGUCUGAUGGUGGUGCCUGUAAUACCAGCACUAGAGGAGGCUGAGGCAGGAGGAUCCGAGUUCCGGCCCGGCCUGGUCUGAUGGAGGUCAGUAGAGUGCCGAGUGCCGGCUAUACCUGGUCUCUGAGGAGGGCCUGGGCUUGGGGAGGGCGAGAGGGGAGGACCAGGGGCCAGGGUGUGGGCUGGGCCCACUGGGAGGAAACAUUUUUGUGACAAGGAGAUAAUUCACACCCCAGGGAGUGCUGUAUCCUUCUAAGGUCUUUGCAGCAGCAAGUUGAGGUGACGUUGGCGGCCACUGCAGCUGGCCCCGGACUGUCCCCUCUUCCCAUGGUGUCCGCCCCGCCCUGCAGUAGCUGUGGCCCGAGUUGCAGGCUGGGCCUGUGACCCUGGGAGGGCCGCAGCCAUCUGAGCUGUGUGCUCCGGGCUGAAGGGCGGCCCGAGUUGGGGCCCCGACGUACACUGCCCUGGCCCCGGUGACGGUGACCGCCUUGUGUCUGUGUUUUGUGUGGACAUCUUGAGGUGUGCGGGGGACGCUGGCCUGUCUCCCACGAGACCCUAGGGUGACUUUGCAGUCACUGAGCAGGGUCCCCUGGCUGAGCCUGGUCGGGCCCAGGGGCUGGCGGGGGGACACCUCUGUGCUGUCCCCUGCAGGUGCCUCUCGCCUCUGUCACCUUGGCAGCGGGGAAGUGGCCGGCUGACGGCCACUGGGUGGUGUCCAGGCGCCCCAGGCUGUAGGCCUGCAGUGUGCCAGGUCCCUUGUGACUCAGGCUGCCAGGGUUUCAUCAGCCAUAGCGCCAGCUGCAGGGCUGGGCCUCGGCUUCAGGGGGGCAGAAGCAGGGCCCCCAGCUCCACCUACCCCACCCCACAGAGCGGAGUCCCCACCUGGCCAGCUGCUUGGAGAUGACAGCACCUUCUGCCCAGGGUGAUGGGAGUGCGUGGGUGCCCGUGCUCUGGAUGGGGAGACUGAGGCUGCAGGAGGCCUACAGUGGGCCGUGCUGCUGGCAGGUGACGGGCGGGCUGAGCGGUUCUGAAGCCGGACUUCAUCACUGCUCUCCUGAGCCCUGCACAGGGUCGGUGCCAGGCGCUGUGGAAUGGAGCCGAGGUAGCCCUGGAGAGAGCGGGUGACAUUCAGGACUCAGAACGAGGGCCCCAGAAUGCCCCAAUCUGGGCCUCCCCGGUGCCUGCGACCACCCCUGCCCAAACCCAGCCAGGCCACUGACCUUGGGGAGGCCGGACCCAGUCACCAGGGGCAGUGCUGGGGGAGCAGAGCCUCUGUCACCCGUCCCUGGACCCCAGUGCCCGUUGGAGGUGAAGGGGUAUCUGGGAGUAUGGGCACGUGACUUGGGACGGACCCUGUCCCCGGGGGACACCACUGGCCGGCUGGCCCCAUCUGUGGGACUCGGGGCUUGGAGACAGAGCUGCUCUGUGACUGUCGGCUGGUGUCACUGUGACUGUUCACCGCCUUCCUGGGUUGGUCGGGGCCGUUGUACUGGGAGCUGUCCUGGGGACCUCACAGGCAGGGCAGCUGGACCUUGUGGGGGACAGGAACAGCUGGAGGGUCUGCCUCUCAGGUUGGGACAGCUGGGAGCCAGAUUCUGGGGGUCACAGCCCCCACUCGCCCCUCAUCUCCUUAGUGAUCAUGGAGCCGCUUAGAAUGUGUGCCCUCGGGGGGAAGGAGGGACCCCGACACCCAGCGCCAGUGACAGCCCCGCUUUCUCAGCGAGGCUCCGAGCUCUGUGUCUGCCUGCCCGUGAUUCUGUUUGCCCCACGCCGGGCGCAGCCGAGGCCCCUGGGGAUGUGGCUCUGUGCCGGCCCCGUGUGUGCAUCUGUCUCACCAGCCUGAGGGCGCAGCAGCAAGGGUGGCGUUGUUACCCAGGGAUCGCCGGCCGGGAGCCCUGGCCACCAGACUGACCUCUCAGUAAAGAAUAGCCAGUGAUGGGUUAGAACGGCCAACGGCUCUGUGGAUAAGACCCAUUGGAGGGCACAGCGCUGGAGCCCCAAGAUCAAACCAGGCAGCUUUGAAAACAUUGGUGAACCUGCUCCAAGCCAGGGCGCGGUGACACAGGCCGGUGAGCCCAGUACUGUGGGAGGCUGAGGCAGCAGGUCAGCAAUUUGAGGGCCCCCUGGGAACUCAGCGCAUUGGUGAGGCUCAGUCCCCGCAUCAGAAAGCUGGGGUGCAGCCCAGUGCGAGGCCCGGAGAGAGGGAGGGAGAGGGAGGAGCUCCCCGGGCACCCGGGGAGUGGCCGGCACGGUGGGCUCAUCUCCAGUCCAGUCUGGAAAUUCCUGCCCUCCCGGGCCUCAGCCAUCUCGCCCGUGUCCCCGGGGUGGUGGCCUCAUCACCUUCCGCCUCCCUGUCUGCGGGUCCCUCUGUUCUGCAGUGAUGGCCUCUUUCAUUCUGACGCUGGUAACCGGUGCCUUCUUAUGGAUCAGGCCAGCUACAGCACCCAGAGCCCGGAGGGGACGCGGGGCAGGCACCCACCCCCAGCACGGAGCCCUCAGGGGCCGAGCAGAGGAUCUUGCUGAGCUUCCCAAGCUGAUCUCCUAACUCUGACCCUCCUGCCUCAGGCUCCUGGGCGGCUGGUGGGCACACACACAGGUGUGCACACUCAGCAAGAGUUGCUUGUACAAAGGGCACGCUCGGCGGCUCUCCGUAUGUUUACAGAGUUAUCCUAGCAUCUGCUCUGUUAGAACAGUUCUCAUCACUUCCAAGGGAAACUUCACUCUGCCCUCCCUGGGUGCCUGGAGAAUCCAAUCUGGGUUCUGUCUCUGUGGAUUUGCUUGAUCUGGACAUUAAAUAUGCGCAGGAUUCUGUUGUGUAUGCAUAUGGAUACUUACAUUUCUGUCUGGCUUCUUUUUACUGAGCAUCCUGUUGUCAAGGUUUAUCUCAGCUCUAGCCAACACCAGCAUUGCAUGCCUUUUCCUGGCUGAGUAAUAUUCCACCAUGCAGAGGUCGCAGUGUGUUUAGCUGCUAAAGGGUGGUGGAUAUUUGGUUCUUUACACGUCUGGCUGUCGUGGAUAACGUAUCAAGUGUCUGUGUACAGACUGUUGUGUGCAUGUGUUUUCCUUUGCUGUGGAGGGAGUGUGGGGUGGGCUGCAGGUCUGAACAGGCUACAGGUUGCACUGCGGUGCAGGACAUAGCUCUCCUGAGUCCGGCCCCUGUUCCACCUUUCCUCAAUGUGGUAUGAGGUGAGGCUAUUGCAUGCCCCAGUUUCUCUGUCCGGGUUGCAGUGGCCCCAGGCGGCCCCGAGUGGGGGUGGACGGUGUUUUCCCAUGCAGGUGGGGCUGGGGCACCUGUGUCCCCACCCCCAGCUGCAAGGCCCUCAGGAGCCCUAACCUUCACCCUAAGGCCUCUUUCCCAGCUCUCACCGAGGCUUAGGGCGGGGCCUGUGCCGGCCUCCCAGCCCCAUGGGACCCGCAGGCCCCGCCCACCAGACCCUCGCAGGUGGGCAGCUCGCAACACCGGGCCUCUGCUCCUGUCCCCGGGGGGCUCAGGGUAGCCCCGCAUCCGUGCGUCCGAGCCUUACCUCGUCCUGGUUCUCCGUCAGCUGCCCCGUGUUCUCUGCCAGCACCAUGAACUGAACCCUGGAUAGCCCAAAAUGCUAAAUGCCGAUCCUCUGUUCAUCAAGGAGAAACUGAGGCACAGAGACGCCCACACAGUGCCGGGUGUCUUUUGGGGUUCAGAGGUUGGCUUAGGGCUGCUGUGGCAGCCUUCACAAGGGACUCCUUCUCCUGUCAGGGGGAAGGACGGGUGCUGCUGGCUGUUUUCUGGGAGGCUCCUGAGCUGGGUUGACUGCAGGAGCUGGGGUGACUUUGGAUACCUGACCGGCGCCCACGUGUGCAGAGGGGACUGGGUACAAGUGGAAACACGGGUGGACGGGAGCUACCGGGAGCCUUCCCCGCGGGACUUACAGUGCCUUUCACCGGGUGGUGCCCACUGAGACCCUGGCAGUUGGGGUGGCUUCGUUCUGUGCCACAUUUCAGGAAGUGCUCCCAAAGCCAUUUUUGCCAACAGCAGAACCCAGGGUCCCACCGGGGUCCUUUCUGAGAGGAGUUGGGAGUGGAGGUACGCAGCCGUGGGGCCCUGGACGGUGCCCGGUGGAAGGUCCAGGGCCCACCCUGCCAUCCAGCUCGAGGUGGGGGGCGAGUGCUCCUCUGGGGAGCGGAUGGGUGGGCAGGGCCGGGGAUUUCGGAGGAUUUUCUAUUUUUAACCUACGAUGUGUUUAACUCACCCAGGAGGAGCCGAGCUCUCUCUGGGCACUACAAAGCCGUUGUGUUUGGAGCCCAUAAAAACGGUUGGCGAAGAGGGUCUCAGGAGCUCAGGGGCAGGCGGGGCCGCUGGGGGUGCAGGACCCGCGGAGAGCAUGGCUGGGAGCGGCCUCUUCUCCCUGCUGCCCAGAGAGGCUGAGUCACUCGUGCCACCACACAGCGACGGGCGGGUGCGGCUCCCUGAGUGCGGCAGUGGGGCCCGGGCACCUUCCCAGGGCCCCGCGGGAAGGGGUGCAGUUCUGACAGCGGCUGCGGGUCCUUCACCAGCUCCCCAGGGCCCUGGGCGAUACUUGGGGGCCAGGUCCGUUGAGCUUGGCUGCGGGGCGCUGAGGCUGCAAAGUCAGCAGCUCCCCGGGCAGCGCAGCGUCCUGGUCUGCUUAGCUCGGGAUUUUCCAACUGCCGGGGAACAAACCCGCCCCCCAGGCCUCUGGGCUGCCAGAUGAAUUGGGAAAGGUUUCCAGUUUCCAGACCCAGGGGGAUGGCGUCAUGGGUAAAGGGUCAGGGGUCAGGGGUGAAGGGUCGGAGGUCGGCCCAGGAUGUCCCCAAGGGAGGAAGCCGAGGACCCUCUCACGGUGUGUCAGCCUCGGUGGCGGGGACGCAGGAGCUGGCCCCGGCUGGGUUUGCCACAUACCCGAGGGAGCGCGGGUGGCUUGUGGCAGUAGGCAUGUGUGAUUCCUCUACAUUUAGGGAGGAGGGGACCCCACCCCGCGGCACCCUGUGUGGCAGCCCGUGUGCUGGGGUGCCGGGAGGGCUUCCUGGAUCCCAUCCCGGCCUCUUGCAGGCUGGACGGAGGGCACAGACCUGCUUCUCCCCUGGUCGCGGGCACCCAGCCCGCCGGCCCUUGCACAAGAGGAAAAUGAGCCGGGUGACAGGCUGUCACCGUGCAGCCCAGCGCCUGGAGGGAGGCCGGGGCUCCCGCUCGGCCAGGGUGCGGCCUGCAGGCCUUCUCCCUCCCUCCCUCCCUCCCUCCGAAGCUAAAUGGAUCUUUCAUUAAGAUCAGCAAAAUCCAUUUUUAACUGAAUUUGAAGGUCACCUGGCUUGGGCUCCCCGGGCUGUGGAGCGGCCGUCAGCACCGCCCUGGGACGGUGGCCCAGGUGGAGAACAGGCAGAGCUCAGAGGCCAGAGGCCCCGUCCAGGACGGCCGUGCGCAGGACCUCGGCCACCUGCCGCCUCUGUGCCACCGGCCAGGGUCAGGCUUCCGGGCCAGCUCAGUCCUGCCCAGCACGGCCUUUCUCUGCCUCACUUUCCUUGUUGUUGGCAAAGUGGUGAUUCUAAAGCCCCUGGGGUCCCUGCCCACCCCGACAGCUGAGAACUUGAGGCCAGGUGACCAUCCUGGGCGCCUGGGCCUUGCGGGUCCUGUUGGGUGCUAGGUCCUGGUCCCCUGGGGUGUGGGUGGGGCUGUGUUGGCAGCAGAGGGUGGCAUGGGUGUGGCAGCCAGCCUUUCCCCCAGGGUCCCCCGGCACCACAGAACAGGUCCCACGGGGCUCACAGAGCAAGGAGCUGGGGCAGGGUCCCCUGUGCUGGCGAGAGGGUUGGGGGCCCCAGGAGGCUGUGUCAUGGAGUCCUGGUGUGUGGGGGCUGGAGGCUGCUGAGAUUCCAGCUGGGGGUGUGGAACCUUCCUGGGCGCCCCCUGGUUUGGACACACUGCCAUCCCCUCCUCAGUGCCCGCCAAGCCCAGCACCCCAGGCUUCAGUGGGGCCAUUGAUGUGGCCAGUGGGUCUUGGUAAAGGCUGCAGGGUCCCGUGCACCCUGGCUUGGGUUUGCACCUGCCGUCUGCCAGCUGUGUGUGGAGUGCAAGGUCCUCGAGCCUCCCCCAGGUCCCUGGAACCCUGCAGGGCCGCCAGCGGCUCUGGGAAGCCCCACAGGAAGGUGGGGAGGAGGGAGGCGGUUUUUAUUUUGAGACAUAAACACCCUCUCCAAGGAUACAGGUCUCUGUGUGUGUCCUCCCAGGCCAUUGGCUGGCCGAGAGGGGACAGCUCGCUGUCUGCACCCCUCCCCCCGCCAGAGCCCUGUCCCUGGCCCAUCGGCGUCCAGGUGGGACCGUAGUGUCCUCGCCUGUGCCUUUCCCACUCGGAAUUUGGGGGCUGAGGUCCCAAGAGGACGAAAUUGGGACCUGUUGUUCAGGGGGUGCUCGCUGCUCCUUCUGUAGGGGGCAUCCGGAGCCCGUGUGGCCUGAGAUCGAGGAGCAGCCGACCGCUGCGAUGCCAGCACUGGCAGGACGCAGGGGGACAGGACGCAGGGGGGCAGGACUGAGGGGGACAGGAGCACAGGCCGGGCAGGUGCUUCUGCUUCCACUUUGCUUUCUGUCCUUGGUAAAAGAGCUGGGCUGCCACCGGCCUUCUGCCGUGUCUCCUGUCCUCCCUCCCGCGUGGCUGUCCGGGGACAGCUCUGACACCCUGUCACUCUCUUCUCCCCUCUGAGGUCUCGUUGUCACCAUGCAGGUUACCUCUCCUAGGGACGCUUGCCCUGGCCCUGGCCCUGGCCCGUGACGGCCCUGCCAACACCUGUCACUGCCGUGACCUCACUGUCCCCUGGGUGCCCAGAGAGGAAUGAGGUCACCCGGCCUCCUGAGGUCACAUUGCGGGUGGUGUCGGGGGCAGGACCUUCCUGCAGCCCGCUGUCCAGGCCCCACCCUCUGUGGGCGCAGCUGUGUUCUGGUGUGGCUGGUGCCUGUGCCCUGCCCAGUCCAUUGGGGGCCUGCAGACCACGUGGGCUGACCCUGAGCCGCAGACAGGAAGCCGGGCCGAGAGGCACCAUUUUUAUCUCCCGCCCGCUUUGUGUUGUGGAGCUGGAGCUGGAACCCAGCACCUCUCAGGGCUGAGCAGCACUGUGCCGCACGCCUUGGCUCUUUUCACCAUGGACGUGGCCUUUCCCAGCCACGGAACCGGCCUUAGACUCACCGGCCUCCUGCCUCAGCCUCCUGGUAGCUAGGAUGUCGGGUCUUGUUCCAGGGAGAUGUCCUGGGGCUGGCGCGUCCCUCGGGCCUGGUGUUCAUUGUGAUGAACACGCACCCACGCAGCUGGCCACGUCAGCUGCUCUUGAGUGCCCAGUCCGGCGGCCAGCACUGGGCCUCGAGGAGAACCUUCACCCGGUUCCGCUCCAGACCCAUCAUCUGCUCAGAAGGAAACUCUGUCCCCUGGGCCACAGGGCCCCGCAGCAGUGCUGCAGGGGGUACUGCGCCCGUUGGUCCGGGCUCCCGGGUCCCCCUGCCGUCUUCUCCGUGAGACCCGGGAGGACACGGAUGGACUCACGUCCAUCCACUCAGUGUGCUUCCGGAAUGAUUUGCUAUGUCUUCCCUUUUCAGGGUCUUUGGGUGUCGGGACGACAGACAGAGACAGCAGAGCUUUAAGAUGGGCUCUCUGGCGAGUUUCUGUGGCUUCUGUGGAACGUUUGGUUAGUGGGAGGCUGAACAGGAGGAGUGCACGUUGAGCCCACCCAGAGUUUAGUGGCCCAGCAAGACCUUGUCUCAAAAUUAGAAAUCAAAACAAAACAAAAAAGUUACAACUCAGUGCAAAGGUCCAGUGUUCAAUUCCCAGUAUUAAAAAAAAGUUUAAGAAAAAAAGGUCCAGAAGGUUUUUGAAAAGUGAGUUGUUGGCAAAGGACCCUCAGGUGAGCGGCUCCAGGUGGGAAGUGCCGGGCCUGGCCGCGCCGGGAGUGGGGGAGACCAGGUGCAGGCCCUGCCCAGCCUGGGGGCGCAGGUGAGGUGCCCAGGCUCUGGAUCUCAUCCCAGAGAGGCAGAGGGGCUGGGCUGGUGUCCCCGCCCCAGUCAGUGCCUGUCCUCCUGGAGCUAGAUGAGGCCCCCCCAGACUGCUGCCCCCUUCCGGGGUGCUGGGAGUGGGGGGCUCGGCCCUGGCAGGGGUGGCGCAGAAGGGGCUGUAGGCUUCUCAGAGCAGAGCACUGUCAGGGGUAGGGCUUGUCCUCAUGGUGACCGGGCUGGUGUGCAGAGCUGCCCGUGGCUCCUCAGGAAGGCCUCCCCGGUGCAGGAGGCCACGCUGCGGUCCAGGCCACUCAGAGACUCAGCCAGGAGCCCGAUGACCUCACAGGGGUCCCUGGCUCUCCUGCCAGAUGCCCUCUGCUCCACUGGGGUCUGGCUGGGCAGGCUUCUACCUCCCUGGGGACAGGCCCCGGCCCCUGGCUGUGCCCACCCCGCCGCUCCUCCUGCUGGCCUGCACCCUGCACGUCCUGGGAGUGGGCUGGGGCUCCUUCCUCACU